UACAGAGGUGGCAAGCGUUGUUCGGAUUUACUGGGCGUAAAGGGUCCGUAGGCGGUUUGGAAAGUCGAAUGUGAAAUCCCACAGCUUAACUGUGGAACUGCAUUCGAAACUACCAGACUUGAGUAUGAGAGGGGUGAAGGGAAUUCCCGGUGUAAGGGUGAAAUCUGCAGAGAUCGGGAGGAACACCAGUCGCGAAGGCGCUUCACUGGCUCAUUACUGACGCUCAGGGACGAAAGCUAGGGGAGCAAACGGG
This 253-nucleotide ribosomal RNA is filed under the name uncultured bacterium. RNAcentral's name for it is "partial 16S ribosomal RNA". It matches the Rfam family "Bacterial small subunit ribosomal RNA", at positions 524 to 776 of the family's 1533-position model. The record is from RNAcentral.